RNAcentral lists this long non-coding RNA (203 nucleotides) under Mytilus galloprovincialis (Mediterranean mussel). Lineage: Eukaryota; Metazoa; Mollusca; Bivalvia; Mytilida; Mytilidae. The record is from RNAcentral.
GAAAAAAAAAACAAUUUUAAUUCCAAGAAAUAUUUCACGUUUGUUACAUGGUAACGGUUGCUGUCCAAACUGAUCAUGAACAGUAGUCACUGAAAUUUUUCUGAAAAGAGGUGGAAGAUAUCAAAGGACAAAUCAACUAAUAGACAACAAAAGAUAUAAACCAAGGAGAUGACAACAAAAUCAGAGUUCAAGGAAAGACACGG